Molecule: long non-coding RNA, 3039 nt
Organism: Mirounga angustirostris (Northern elephant seal)
Lineage: Eukaryota; Metazoa; Chordata; Mammalia; Carnivora; Phocidae
Exons: 6
Source: RefSeq, a predicted model, not a curated record
GAGGGGCUCGAGCCCAGGACCCUGGGAUCACGACCUGAGCUGAAGGCGGAUGCUUAACGACGGAGCCACCGGCGCCACCUUCUAACAACUUUUUAGUAGUCAUUUGAAAAAAGUGAUAACACAGAAGUGGAAAGAAGAAAAUGAUUAUUUCUUUUGCUUCUCAAGUCACCCGAUUACUAAUGGGCUGUGUGGGGGAUCAGAUUGGACGUUUCCUGUUCCACACCGAUUUCCUCACGCUGCUGUAUAGUGACUGCUGGAAACACAGCUUAGCAGAGAUAGGCCAUCACUGAAAGGAAUGUGGCAAGGAGUGUCUAACAUUGACACUCGGAACAGCCCUGAGUCGGUGCAGUGUUCAACAGAUGUUGAGUAUCCUGCGUUUCCUUUGGGGAAUUUCAAAUAUCUCACAGCACUUCUGUGAAUUUACAUGGAACACUGGGGGUGAUUUGGUGGACAGUGUGGGGACCACAGAACUAGACAUAUUGGUUUCUGAUUAUAGAACCGAGAUCAUCCUUUGCUGCUAAGUCCAAAGCCAUCUCUGAGUACAUAGUAACAUUUUAUGUGAGGAUUCCAGGAAACAACGUUGCCACUCUUUCUGAAAACUCUAUCCUAUCUGCCCUUAAAUCCAUAGGGAUGCCUCAGAGUGCUAACCCAGUCUGACUACUUUGGAUAGAGGAGAGAGGAGGAAAAGCGGGAGGAAUGCAUCCAGAUCUUCAGCAAUAGCAUGAAAGCAUGCACUGUUGAAUAAAGAGGAAGUGAGCAUGCAAUAUGCAAUAGUGAUUUGGAGCCCUUGAUGAAGAAAUGAAGGCUAGAUUCUGAAGGGUUGGUUGUUGUCAGAACCUGCAGUUAAGCUGGCUAAGCCUUGUGGUAUUGCCCUUUGUAAUCAGGAACAUCCUUUCAGAAGGCAAUUGUAGAACACGGGGAGAAGAAAUUUAACACCCGCUCUACCAGCAUAUUUCUUUGGUUGCUCUCAUCUAUUUCUUUAGCUGGAUGCCAAUCUUGGUUGGUUGAGACACCGAUGAAACCAGUUCCUGUGGCAACUGGAGAUAUCCUUACAUCAUCCUUGUGAUGGCUGGACCCAGGAAAUCAGCAGGGGAACCCACAGUACCACACAGAGCUGGAAAUGCUCCUGGAGGUCACCCAGCUCCCUACGUUCAUAUUACGGGAAGAAAAAUGCAGGUGCAGAAAUGACAAGUGGCUCACCCAGGCUGGCCCAGCAGGUCAAUGCCAGAAUUGGGGUUGGCCUCAGAUCUUCCAAACCCGGCUAGGAGUCUGGGGCUGCCUUACGCCCUUCACCUCCCAGUGCCAAAAUCACCCCCCAAUUCCUACUAAGAGAUGGGGAAAUUGAGGUCAACAGAGAUCUCAGAUCUGGAAUGAAGCUGAGGAGUGGAACACUUUGAAUACUAAGCUAAAGGAUCUCAGCUCUGCAGUGCAGGCCAGUGAUGUUUCAACAUUUCCUCUUUGAAUGCUUAUUCAUUAACCCACUUCCUACAUGCCACGUGACCAGAUGUCCCAAGAGGAGUUCCUUUGGGAUGAAGCUAACUCUCAUCCUCUGUAUACCAUUGCAAAAUAGUGCUAUUGAGGUGGUGACAAGAAGCAUGUGGAGCAAUCACCUAGAUGAGUGCCAAGGAUCCAGAAGCUUUAGCUUCUCAUCCUGCUGUCAACAUGUUCUGCUAGCCCAGACUGAAUCCUGAGCUCUCCUGCAGUUAAACAAGAAGCAUUCAUCCUCAGAACCAGUGGCUCUGCUCCCUCCUCCCACCACGAACUUGAAGCAAUAAAUGACCAGAGGAUACUGGAAUGCAAGGUGCCACAACCUUGCAUGACCCAGAUAUUCAUUCACUGUUUUUUCCUCCUAAUUGCUGAGCACUUCCCAUGCACUGGGUGCUGAGGAUAAACAGUGAACGAGGUAUAAUUCUUUAGCCAUGAGAAAGCAGUGACGGAGAACAGACAACAAUGAUCAGAUCAGUAACUAACAUUUACUGAGUGCCUGGGAUGGAGUAGACACUGUGCUAUCUGCUCUCCAUGUACUAAAUUAAUUCUCCUAACAAUCAGUGAAGGCUGUGCAAUUAACCUCAGUGUCCAAAGAAGAAGCACAUCCAGCCACAAGUGAGGAGCCAGGAUUUGAACCUAGGUGGCUGGACUUGGAAGCUUGCGCUCACCACUAGGAGAGGAAGAGAAGAGGCACAGAGACAGGCGAACGCUGAGAAAAGAAGCCCCGUGCAGCCCGACAUGCAGGGAGAUGCCGUGUGCCAAGGCAGAGGUUACGGGGACGCAUCCAGGAGCCAAGGAGCACCAGGACCGCCGACAACACCAGGAGCAGGGAAAAAGGCAAGGGACAGAUUCUCCCCUACAGACUCUAGAGAGAAUGCAGUCCCAAAGACUCCUUGAUCUUGGACUUCUGGCCUCCAGAAGAAUAAUGCGAGAGAAUAAAUUUCUGCUGCUUUAAGCCACCCGGUUCGUGGUGCUUUGUUGCAGGAGCCCUAGGUGGAGGGGCGAGCGGAGCAGACACGUGCAGGUAACUGUGAGCUAGAACUCUCACGUUCUGAGCACUCUUCAUCUAUCCACCCAUUUAAUCCUCCCAAGACCCACUGAGGAGCAACCCUUAUGUUCCCAUUUUCCAAAUAAGGACCCGAGGCGCAGAGAACCUAAGCAACUCGCUGAAUGUCACGGUCAAUGGAAUUGAAACCCUGGCACCCCCAAGCCCGUGGUAUUUGCACUCACCCUGCGUGCACUCACCCAAGGCUGACACAGUGCCUCUCCUCUGUGCUAUAGACAGCAGGGUGCAGAGAUGAGCACGCUUUGGUUCCCCCAACCCCACAGCCCUCACUGUCUUUGUGAUCCAAUCUAGCUGACAUCCCCUCCCUCCCCCGCCCCAACACACACACUGGAGAACUGCUCUGAAACGUGGCUGGUCUGAGCUCACGUGUGCUGUGUGUGUCAAAUACACACCGGGUUUACAACACCCAAUACAAAAAGAAUGCAAAAUGUAUCAUGAAUAAUUUUUAAUAUUGACUGCAUGUUGAAGUGACCAUGUUUUGAAUA